CCAAUAGCGUAUAUUAAAGUUGUUGCAGUUAAAAAGCUCGUAGUUGAAUUUCGGGAUUUGUCAGUUGGUCGGGCUUCACUGUCCGUAUUGACUUGAUGGAUUCUUACCUUCUGAAUAAACCAGCAUGCUAUUAAUUUAGUGCGUUGGGGAAGCAGAUCUAUUACCUUGAAAAAAUUAGAGUGCUUAAAGCGAGCUAGUGCUUGAAUAGAUUAGCAUGGAAUAAUAAAAUAGGACGGCAUGGUUCUAUUUUGUUGGUUUCUAGGAUCACCGUAAUGAUUAAUAGGGAUAGUUGGGGGCAUUAGUAUUCAAUUGUCAGAGGUGAAAUUCUUGGAUUUAUUGAAGACUAACUUCUGCGAAAGCAUUUGCCAAGGAUGUUUUCAUUAAUCAAGAACGAAAGUUAGGGGAUCGAAGACGAUCAGAUACCGUCGUAGUCUUAACCAUAAACUAUGCCGACUAGGAAUCGGACGAUGUUAAUUUUAUAAUGACUCGUUCGGCACCUUACG
RNAcentral lists this ribosomal RNA (503 nucleotides) under uncultured Glomeromycotina. Its description in RNAcentral is "partial small subunit ribosomal RNA". It matches the Rfam family "Eukaryotic small subunit ribosomal RNA", at positions 591 to 1092 of the family's 1831-position model. Lineage: Eukaryota; Fungi; Glomeromycota. The record is from RNAcentral.